ACAGGGGGUGCUAGCGUUGCUCGGAAUCACUGGGCGUAAAGCGCACGUAGGCGGUCCCGUAAGUCGGGUGUGAAAGCCCUCAGCCUAACUGAGGAACUGCGCCCGAUACUGCGGGGCUUGAGGAUGGGAGGGGAGAGUGGAAUUCCUGGUGGAGCGGUGAAAUGCGUAGAUAUCAGGAGGAAUACCAGUGGCGAAGGCGACUCUCUGGUCCAUUCCUGACGCUGAGGUGCGAGAGCUAGGGGAGCAAACGGGA
RNAcentral lists this ribosomal RNA (253 nucleotides) under uncultured prokaryote. Its description in RNAcentral is "partial 16S ribosomal RNA". It matches the Rfam family "Bacterial small subunit ribosomal RNA", at positions 525 to 777 of the family's 1533-position model. The record is from RNAcentral.